RNAcentral lists this long non-coding RNA (1122 nucleotides) under Canis lupus familiaris (dog). RNAcentral describes it as "lncRNA (ENSCAFG00040015110.1)". The record is from RNAcentral. Lineage: Eukaryota; Metazoa; Chordata; Mammalia; Carnivora; Canidae.
AUGCCCCAGCACCCCGAAAUCAACAAGCUGUGCAGACGCUCGUACACUCCGACAGGCAGACAGGCACACCGGGCAGAGGACCGACAUUUACAUUCCACUCCCUCUGCAUCCUCCCUUCCUCCCUGGGCGCCCCGCCGGUGUUUUCUCACUGCGCGUCUGGGGCGCAGACGCCCCCGCCCCUCCCUGGGGGACCUGGGCUGCUCCUCUGAGCCCCUUCUCAGCCCCUCUUGCAGGGAUUCCCUCGCCCCCGGGGGACGGCGCCUCCUCCUCCCAUCGGCGUGGCGCGCCCAGCACCACCGGCCAGUCCGCCAGGCGCCUGCAUUCCGGUGCAGCCCUCCCAGCGUUCGCCGUCUGUCCGCGCACUCCUACCCGCAGCCUCUGUCCAUCCCCGUCUCACCUCGACGCCGGCCUCGAGACUGCUCCCGCUGCUGCUGCCACCGCCGCCCCGUUGCAGCAGCCGCAGCCCGGGAGGGAGCGAGUCAGCGAGCGAGGGAGGGAGGCGGCGGGUCUCCCCUCCCCUCUGCUCGUCCCCUCCUUUCGCUCCUCUCAGGUCCCCUCCCCUACGCUCCGCUGCUGCCGCGCACCGCCCCCGCCCCUCGCUCGCCUCCCGCCCCUCCCGGCCAGCCCCAGGGAGCCACGCGUGCCAGGCCCCGCGUUACCCGGGCAACCGGCCGGGUAACCACUCGCGCCCCCUCCCUGCCCCUUCCCACGCGCGCCUCCUGGGGGUGCCCCCUUCCCAAGCCCUGGGCCCCUCCCGCCAACGGUCACCGGGGUGUCCUGGCAGAGGCGGGGGGCUGGGGGAGACGGAGAGGGGUCUGCGAGGAGACAGGACCUGUGAGACAGGCGGGACCCGGUGGUGGCACUCCUACAAGCAGAAGGCGGGGAGGGGAAAUGAGGCAAAACUUGGGGAGGCUGCUCCAAGGAGGAGCAGGGUGGGGUUUUAAGAAAAGGGAGCCUGCAGUACGGGAAGUCCCUCUACCCUCGAGGAAGCAGCAGCAGAAAUGGGUGCUGGAAGGCUCCCGGGUCCCUGGAGCAGGGCUCAAAAGGGAAUUCCAGGGCCGAGGCUGCAGGGGCAGUCUGGAACAGGAGGGGGCUGGGGCCCUGGAGCCCCGUAAAUGCUGA